UACGUAGGGUGCGAGCGUUAAUCGGAAUUACUGGGCGUAAAGCGAGCGCAGACGGUUAUUUAAGUCAGAUGUGAAAUCCCCGAGCUCAACUUGGGAACUGCGUUUGAAACUGGAUAGCUAGAGUAUGUCAGAGGGGGGUAGAAUUCCACGUGUAGCAGUGAAAUGCGUAGAGAUGUGGAGGAAUACCGAUGGCGAAGGCAGCCCCCUGGGAUGAUACUGACGUUCAUGCUCGAAAGCGUGGGUAGCAAAC
Molecule: ribosomal RNA, 250 nt
Filed under: uncultured Alysiella sp.
Lineage: Bacteria; Pseudomonadati; Pseudomonadota; Betaproteobacteria; Neisseriales; Neisseriaceae
Description: partial 16S ribosomal RNA
Rfam family: Bacterial small subunit ribosomal RNA
Source: RNAcentral